Molecule: transfer RNA, 60 nt
Filed under: Ichthyoxenos japonensis
Lineage: Eukaryota; Metazoa; Arthropoda; Malacostraca; Isopoda; Cymothoidae
Description: tRNA-Leu
Source: RNAcentral
UCUUAUUUGGCAGAUUAGUGUAUUAAAUUUAAGCUUUAAAAAUGUUUUGAACAAUAAGUU